CUAGUAAUCGACAAAAAGAUUGCAUUCAGAUUAUCUCUCGAUGAAUCAAAGAUUCAAGAGAGGAUAAGGUUAAGGCCAAAGGGUCUCCAGAAUGCCCUCUCUCCUCCCCCUUCGGAAUUCCCCUGCAAAACUACUUUAAUCCCGACAGAGCUUGACAAUGGGAUUAGCUUCGGUUAUCCACCCCGGCAUGCCAUGUGUUUCGCCGCCUUCCAAUUGCUCUCGGCUUCAACUUACUCACCACCAUAUUUUCAGUUUGCGCACAGUUGGUCAUGGUCGUCGAGCUGAAUAUUUUCCAAUUGCCUGCUCCAGAGGAACCGAGCAGGAGGAUCAUUUCUCUCCCUCAGAAAGCAAGAGAAUCAGUUCUCAGUCAUACGAUGAGAUUAUCAACGCUGAUCCCUAUAACACUCCAGAUGCAAUCAAUAAUCUAGAAAAUUCUCAGGGGCAUGAAACUUAUGCGUCUUCUGUUAGAAAUGUUGCCUUUUGGGUGUGCACUGCGGUGGCAUUUGGCAUUGGAUUAGGUUUGAAAGAUGGACUUGGCAAGGCAUCAGAGUUUUUUGCCGGGUAUAUAUUGGAGCAAAGUUUGUCAGUGGACAAUCUUUUUGUCUUUGUUCUGAUUUUCAAGUACUUCAAAGUGCCCGUUAUGUAUCAGAAUCGUGUACUUUCAUAUGGUAUUGCUGGUGCAGUUGUCUUUCGUUUGACAUUGAUUCUUCUUGGAGCAGUCACUCUUCAGAGGUUUGAGGCAGUGAACCUGCUACUGGCUGCAAUACUCCUAUUCUCGUCAUUUAAGCUAUUUUCCAGUGAAGAAGGCGACACUGACUUAUCUGACAACUUUGUGGUGAAGACAUGCCAAAGAUUUAUACCCGUCACAACUAAUUAUGACAGUGAUCGAUUUAUAACUGUUCAGGAUGAUGCCUGGAAAGCCACACCUUUGCUUCUCACAGUGGCAGUUAUUGAGCUCAGUGACAUAGCAUUUGCGGUUGACUCAAUACCUGCAGUUUUUGGUGUUACCCGGGACCCUUUCAUAGUUUUUAGUUCUAAUCUCUUUGCCAUCUUAGGUUUGAGGUCACUAUACACACUUAUUUCUGAAGGCAUGUCAGAUUUGGAGUAUUUACAGUCGGCAUUCCCUCAUUCCUUUAUAUCAGCCAUCCAUUGGUGUUGUCCUGGGCUUUAUUGGGUGCAAGAUGAUCCUGGAUUUUUUUGGAUUCCAUAUUUCAACUGAGGCAUCUCUUGGUUUUGUAUUCACUAGUCUUAGUGUCGGAGUACUGUUAAGUUUAAUGAACAAGUCUGAUUAAUUAAAGAAAUACAGGCACAGAGGCAGGUAUGACAAACCAGCAUACUCAUGAAACGGAAACCCCGGAACGGAGGCAAAGCCGAAGGUAGCAUAGCUUGUUCUAGUUCCAAUUGAUCUAGUUUGAGCUUUAUCAUUUUCCAAUUGAAGAUUGGUUUUAUCAAGUUAAGUUAUUUAUCUAAGGCUCAAGGGCAAAAGAAUCCAACCAACCAUGAAACUUAUUUGUGAAUCUAACAUUUUCUGAAAGAAUCGGAGGCACAUGGAGCCAUAGGGAAUGUUACUUACAGAGAAGGGUAAACUCCUGCCAUAGGAAGUAGAAGUAGAAUUAAUUAAUACAUUGAAUUCAAAAACCGACUGUACUUAAUAAUAGAAGGAUUUGACAGAAAUAUGUAAAAUUGUCUCUCCUAAAAAGAUUGUUCCAAAAUAAGGUUAUGUUUGGAUAGUAAGAUGAUAUGAGAUAGUUUUAGGUGAAAAUUGAAUAAAA
This is an RNA transcript of Juglans regia (Persian walnut), 1772 nucleotides long. It is a transcript of the gene named thylakoid membrane protein TERC, chloroplastic, with no coding region annotated. NCBI's taxonomy places the organism in Eukaryota, Viridiplantae, Streptophyta, Magnoliopsida, Fagales, Juglandaceae. The transcript is spliced from 15 exons. The record is from RefSeq and is a predicted model, not a curated record.